This is a long non-coding RNA of Ictalurus punctatus (channel catfish), 3243 nucleotides long. RefSeq lists it as uncharacterized. The record is from RefSeq and is a predicted model, not a curated record. Lineage: Eukaryota; Metazoa; Chordata; Actinopteri; Siluriformes; Ictaluridae. The transcript is spliced from 4 exons.
CUCGGGUACUGAUUAGGACGGAUAGCAGACGAACUGGGGGACUGAAAUGUCCACAUAAGUUAUAAUGAAUUAUUAAUGAAUGGAAAAAUAACAAGAUUUUUGAGAUGUUUUAAUUAUUAUACGUCAAUAUAAUACGUGUCGUUAUAGCCAUAGCGCUAGUCGUGGUUUCUAGGUGGCCAAGUUUUUGUAGGAUUUAUUAAUCUUUAUGUUAUUUUUCUGAAACCUGCACAUACAGUAGGUCAUUGUGACACUUUAUCUGUGUUUAAAAUGCAUUCUAGCUUUACUUUACAUAAAUAUUUACUUUAAAUUGGACAUAAAUAUGAGUAUAGAUGUUUCAGUCAGCUUUAACUUUUCCUUUAUUAAAUUUUUUUUAACGCUUUUGGUCUAAUAAAUAUCCACAUUUCUUACUGCAGUAUUAAACAUUUCAUAUGGAUCUACAGAGUAUUUUUAAAUCUCGACCGUUAUUUCUCCGCUGUUCGAUCACCAAAAAGACUCUUCAGAACUGUGAGUCGAUUCCCACUGUUCACCCAAAAGAAAGGAUUCAAAGAACCGAUCUCGGGGAGUCGACUCGUUCAUGAACGAAACGCCAUUAGCUAGCUGUUCCCUUGUCAGAAAAAAACGCCGAACAUGACUUGAUAAAUUGCUGUGGGAAGUUUGGUUCUCCCCAAACGGAGUUAAAAUAAGAGCCAGCAUCUCUUCUGUACUCCAGUGCGUCUUGGACAGCUGGGACGCCAUUUUGUGAAUGGAGCGUGAUCACAUACAGACUGACCUCUCUAAUCUGGCCAUGUGGAUCGAGCAGGUGUCCUGCCAGCUCUCAGAGUGGAAAUAUUUUUUCCCGUUGUGUCGUGUUCACACGCUCGGCGUUGAACAAACUGCUAACGUUCCCGAGCCCGGGUGUGAUUGGGCCACAGAAACGCCGUAUUCAACGCUGCAUCUUAACCAGAGGUCAGAGGGUCACUCAAACGUUGUCAUGGCUUCUGGAUGAAUCUUAAGACGGAGAUGUGGACCCGGGAUAAACGCGAAUCACGUCUUUAUUAGGACAAAACGUGACGAACUGAAGCCGAGCAGCGGGAUCUCGCUCACGCCGAAGUACAAACAUCGUUAUCAGUUAUGAGCUGCUUGUGAACAAGACACCGUGUUCUGGUGUGGAGGAAAACAAGAGAGGAAACACACACACGCACACACACACACGCACACUGUAGCAGACUACAGUCUACCAUAUACUCACUUCAGCAAGCUCAGAUCAACCUUCUGUGUUCGAUCAACCUCCAUUAAUGACCUGCAGGUAAAUUCAUCUCUAAAUAAGUUUCUUCAAUCGGCGAUAUUUUAAUUCUCUGUGAGAACGUGAGACGAGAGGUCAUGUGCACGAGGUCCUCUCGGGCUUCCCUCAGCCUCUGUCUCGUUCCCUGAUAUACAUGAUAAAGUAUGAAUAGUAUACAAGCAGUGGAAGCUCAGAGGUUAGCCUUGAAAAAGUUCAGAGUUUAAAUCCAGGCUCUGCUGCUGCUUGGUCCUCACCGAGUGUCGCAACCUGCUCACGACCAUAAACGCUAGCCUGAACCAUUUACCCACAAUGCAGUUGGACUCGCUGCUUAAACAUAUUUAAUAUCACUGGAUAAAAGUGCAGAAGAGAAAAGAAAGGUGUUUUUCUUUACUUUCAGAAGCAGGUGUGUGUGUGUGUGUGUGUUUAAAUAUUGAGUUCUUAAGCUUUUAACAUACGCGGACCGGGCUACGCGAGGAAUACAAAAUAACACGUGCUUUUUAAUCUCGUGCCUGACAAAUGUUUCUUUAAACAAUUAGAUAAGGAAAAAAAAAAAAAAAAAAGCGUGACACAAUUCGACAUUAUCUUUUAAAAAUAAGCGCAAGAAUAUACAUCGCGACUGUUAAUCAAAUACUUCAAUGUUUUGAGAAAAGUAAAAAAAAAAAAAAAAAAAAACCCAAGUGAGGUAUUUGUUUAAAUAGCUUUUUUUUUUUUCCAUUUAGUACCGCCCUUCAGACGCUAAAUAAGAUAGUUACAUGUCUCCCAGAAGACAAAAUACUAACAAUUUACACAGAUCAUCCUGUUCAAAAGUUUACACGCCCCCCCCCCCCACCGGCUCUUGAUGUAUGGUGUCGCUUUCUUAGAUUUGUAUAAAUUCAGCUAUAAUCUCUUAUGUGAAUCUCUUAUAAUCUUGUGAAUCUUAUGUGAAUCUCUUACUGUGUAAAUCUCAGCUAUAAUCUCUUAUAGCGUAUUCAGGACAGAACUAAAUAAACAACAACAUGGGAUUUUUAUCACCCGUCUUAUUUUGUUAACAGUCGGUGCGUUUACACGGACGACGCUAAUCCGAUACGGACCCGAUUGAGACGAUACUCUGAUUAAGAAACCAGCAUGUAAACAGAGAUUACUGACGACCUUAAUCUGAUUAAAGUCACACUCGGAGUAAACACGGAUGGAAUUAAGACGUGUGGAGUAUUCCUGUGUUACUCGCGUUAUGGACGUGCGUUACAGACGUGUACACACCUUAAUCACACUAUCAACGCCGUGUGAGAGUUUUCACCGCAUUGUGCGACAGGACACGUACACACACGGCAGCGCUCGACCGUUUGACGCCAAACGAGAGAGCACGGCUGCGUCCCAAACCGCGUACUUACCUACUAUAUAGUAGGAGAAAUACACGUAUCUCGGCUACUAUACAGUAGGUAAGUACACGGUUUGGGACGCGGCCCACGUCUUCAAUCAGUCGUCUGUUUGCACGUACAGCACGACAAAUAAUUAACCGCACUCGAAGCGUUCGUAAAAGUAAAAAUGAAACAUCCAAAACUGUAUACGGUCCCAUAACGACGACCGACCGUACGUCGAUACGUGAAAUUCCGGAGGGACGUCGGACGGCGUGACGCGGGGACGUAACGACGUGUGACGUUAAUCCAUCUACGUUCUAUAACACGUAGCACAGGAGCAUGAAAGGAGUAUUCUAAAAGCGCCUCAUGUAAACACCUUCAUCAGAAUAUUAUACGUCUUAUUCAGAGUAAGGUUGAUAAUUACAUUCCUGCUGUCCGUGUAAACGUAGUCAGUGUUAAGAUUUAGCAGAUUCUGCAAGGGGUAUGCAAACUUUUGGGCACGACUGUGAGUCAAACUUGAGAAAAUGAGUCAGAAUUGAGAGGAGUUCGAAAUUUGAGAUAAUAGAUCAAGUUUGAGAUGAGUCAAACAUGAGAUAUUAAAUCAAUAUUCUGAGAUAAGUGUAUAUUAUUGAGAAACAUAUUGGUGCG